GUACUGAUGAAGAGUCCAAAGCUAGGACGAAAUGGCUGUCCAGUAU
This 46-nucleotide non-coding RNA is filed under the name Trichobilharzia regenti. The record is from RNAcentral. Lineage: Eukaryota; Metazoa; Platyhelminthes; Trematoda; Strigeidida; Schistosomatidae.